Molecule: signal recognition particle RNA, 148 nt
Filed under: Pongo abelii (Sumatran orangutan)
Lineage: Eukaryota; Metazoa; Chordata; Mammalia; Primates; Hominidae
Description: Metazoan signal recognition particle RNA (ENSPPYG00000035684.1)
Rfam family: Metazoan signal recognition particle RNA
About the family: The signal recognition particle (SRP) is a universally conserved ribonucleoprotein.
Source: Rfam by way of RNAcentral
GCCAGGCGUGCUGGUGCAUGCCUGUAGUCCCAGCUACUCAGGAGGCUGAGGCAGGAGAAUCACUUGAACCCGGGAGGCGGAGGUUGCAGUGAGCUGAGACUACGCCACUGCACUCCCCCCUGGGUGACAAAGUGAGACUCUGUCUCAA